Molecule: ribosomal RNA, 506 nt
Filed under: uncultured bacterium
Lineage: Bacteria
Description: partial 16S ribosomal RNA
Rfam family: Bacterial small subunit ribosomal RNA
Source: RNAcentral
AUUGAACGCUGGCGGCAGGCCUAACACAUGCAAGUCGAACGGUAACAGGAAACAGCUUGCUGUUUCGCUGACGAGUGGCGGACGGGUGAGUAAUGUCUGGGAAACUGCCUGAUGGAGGGGGAUAACUACUGGAAACGGUAGCUAAUACCGCAUAACGUCGCAAGACCAAAGAGGGGGACCUUCGGGCCUCUUGCCAUCGGAUGUGCCCAGAUGGGAUUAGCUAGUAGGUGGGGUAACGGCUCACCUAGGCGACGAUCCCUAGCUGGUCUGAGAGGAUGCCCAGCCACACUGGAACUGAGACACGGUCCAGACUCCUACGGGAGGCAGCAGUGGGGAAUAUAGCACAAUGGGCGCAAGCCUGAUGCAGCCAUGUCGCGUGUAUGAAGAAGGCCUUCGGGUUGUAAAGUACUUUCAGCGGGGAGGAAGGGAGUAAAGUUAAUACCUUUGCUCAUUGACGUUACCCGCAGAAGAAGCACCGGCUAACUCCGUGCCAGCCGCCGCAGUAA